UGGGGAAUAUUGGACAAUGGGCGCAAGCCUGAUCCAGCCAUGCCGCGUGAGUGACGAAGGUCUUCGGAUUGUAAAGCUCUUUUGGCGGGGACGAUAAUGACGGUACCCGGAGAAUAAGUCCCGGCUAACUUCGUGCCUGCAGCCGCGGUAAUACGAAGGGGACUAGCGUUGUUCGGAAUUACUGGGCGUAAAGCGCACGUAGGCGGAUUUGUCAGUCAGGGGUGAAAUCCCGGGGCUCAACCUCGGAACUGCCUUUGAUACAGCAAGUCUUGAGUCCGAUAGAGGUGGGUGGAAUUCCUAGUGUAGAGGUGAAAUUCGUAGAUAUUAGGAAGAACACCGGUGGCGAAGGCGGCCCACUGGAUCGGUACUGACGCUGAGGUGCGAAAGCGUGGGGAGCAAACAGGAUUAGAUACCCCCGUAGUCCCUGAGCGGGCUGGCAAGGCGCAU
RNAcentral lists this ribosomal RNA (447 nucleotides) under uncultured bacterium. Its description in RNAcentral is "bacterial SSU rRNA". It matches the Rfam family "Bacterial small subunit ribosomal RNA", at positions 355 to 825 of the family's 1533-position model. The record is from RNAcentral.